Molecule: long non-coding RNA, 1078 nt
Organism: Cydia amplana
Lineage: Eukaryota; Metazoa; Arthropoda; Insecta; Lepidoptera; Tortricidae
Exons: 7
Source: RefSeq, a predicted model, not a curated record
CGUGGCGUGCGAGCUCUGGUCGUGCAUGUUGAGCAGGUCGCGGUAGCCCUGCAGCGCGCGCUCGAGCUGCUCCACGCGCGCGGACAGCAGCGCCGCGCUGCCCGAGCCCGCCUCGCCCGUCAGCCUGUUGUCUACAGAACAUGUCCCUCACCCGUGGCGUGCGAGCUCUGGUCGUGCAUGUUGAGCAGGUCGCGGUAGCCCUGCAGCGCGCGCUCGAGCUGCUCCACGCGCGCGGACAGCAGCGCCGCGCUGCCCGAGCCCGCCUCGCCCGUCAGCCUGUUGUCUACAGAACAUGUCCCUCACCCGUGGCGUGCGAGCUCUGGUCGUGCAUGUUGAGCAGGUCGCGGUAGCCCUGCAGCGCGCGCUCGAGCUGCUCCACGCGCGCGGACAGCAGCGCCGCGCUGCCCGAGCCCGCCUCGCCCGUCAGCCUGUUGUCUACAGAACAUGUCCCUCACCCGUGGCGUGCGAGCUCUGGUCGUGCAUGUUGAGCAGGUCGCGGUAGCCCUGCAGCGCGCGCUCGAGCUGCUCCACGCGCGCGGACAGCAGCGCCGCGCUGCCCGAGCCCGCCUCGCCCGUCAGCCUGUUGUCUACAGAACAUGUCCCUCACCCGUGGCGUGCGAGCUCUGGUCGUGCAUGUUGAGCAGGUCGCGGUAGCCCUGCAGCGCGCGCUCGAGCUGCUCCACGCGCGCGGACAGCAGCGCCGCGCUGCCCGAGCCCGCCUCGCCCGUCAGCCUGUUGUCUACAGAACAUGUCCCUCACCCGUGGCGUGCGAGCUCUGGUCGUGCAUGUUGAGCAGGUCGCGGUAGCCCUGCAGCGCGCGCUCGAGCUGCUCCACGCGCGCGGACAGCAGCGCCGCGCUGCCCGAGCCCGCCUCGCCCGUCAGCCUGUUGUCUACAGAACAUGUCCCUCACCCGUGGCGUGCGAGCUCUGGUCGUGCAUGUUGAGCAGGUCGCGGUAGCCCUGCAGCGCGCGCUCGAGCUGCUCCACGCGCGCGGACAGCAGCGCCGCGCUGCCCGAGCCCGCCUCGCCCGUCAGCGUCACCGUCAGCUCCUUCUCAUAGCAGUCGAGCUGUUGUCUA